AGGUGCGAUCAUACCAGCACUAAAACACCGAAUUCC
This 36-nucleotide ribosomal RNA is filed under the name Prospero obtusifolium. The record is from RNAcentral. Lineage: Eukaryota; Viridiplantae; Streptophyta; Magnoliopsida; Asparagales; Asparagaceae.